GUUGCGCUCAGCAGUGGCAGAGGAGCGGAGGAGCAGCGGAGGAGCAGCAUGGGCCUCCUGGCGAGGCUCCGGAAGGAAUGGUUCAUCAUCGGCAUCGUGCUGGUCAUCCUGUCCGCCAGACUGCAGCCCAGCGUCGGCGUCAGGGGAGGGCCGUUAAAACCAGAGAUCACCAUCGCCUACGUUGCCGUCUCGCUCAUUUUCUUCAACAGCGGCCUGUCGCUGAAAACGGAGGAGCUGACCAGUGCGCUUCUUCACGUCCGUCUGCACCUCUUCGUUCAGUCCUUCACGCUCGUCUUCUUCCCUCUGGUCGUCUGGCUGCUGCUCAAAGUGCUCGCACUCACCGCCAUCGACGAAUGGCUGCUCAGAGGGUUACAGACGGUGAGCUGCAUGCCCCCCCCGGUCUCUUCGGCUGUUAUUCUCACCAAGGCUGUCGGAGGCAACGAGGCUGCUGCUAUCUUCAACUCAGCGUUUGGAAGCUUCCUGGGAAUCGUAGUGACUCCGGUGCUGCUGCUGCUGUUUCUCGGCUCGUCCUCCUCCGUUCCCUUCUCCUCCAUCUUCUCUCAGCUCUUCAUGACGGUGGUGGUUCCUCUGAUCCUGGGUCAGGUGUGUCGUGGUUUCCUCAGGGAGUAUCUGGAGCGGCGGAAGCUUCCGUUCAGCGCCGUCAGCAGCGCCGUCCUCCUCAUGAUCAUCUACACCACCUUCUGUGACACCUUCAGCAACCCCAACAUAGAGCUGGACCCCACCAGCCUGCUGCUGGUCGUCCUCAUCAUUUUCUCCAUCCAGCUCAGCUUCAUGCUGCUCACGUUUGCCUUCUCUACCAGGUCGGGCUCAGGAUUCAGCCCUGCAGACACCGUCGCCAUCGUGUUCUGCUCCACACACAAGUCUCUCACUCUGGGUAUCCCCAUGCUGAAGAUCGUGUUCGAGGGCUACGAGCAUCUCUCUCUGAUCUCGGUCCCUCUGCUCAUCUACCACCCGGCUCAGAUUCUGCUCGGCUCCGUCCUCGUGCCGACCAUCCGGAGCUGGAUGACCAGCCGGCAGAAGUCUAGUCUGUUGUUGAGAUAGGGCCGCAUUCCAACACUGCUGAGAACUAAAAUAAUUCACCAGAGGAACACGGUCUUUGUCUCACUCGGUGGUGAAACUGCCAACUCUUCAGCCCGUCUGACGAAGACGAAAUGAAUGUUUUGACGGUUCCGUGUUGUGAUGGCGUACGGCGGUGGAGGGAUACGGUGGAACGUGCCUUAUUACAAACAAUCAACAGAGACCUCAGUGCGACGGACGGUUGUGCACCAGUCGCCCCGAUAUUCUCCGUUUUUAUGACAACAAAAAACUCAUAUUUCCAUCAGAUAUAUUCUUUUAUAUCUAAAAGAAACAGAAGUUUUAUUUUUAUAUGAAAUACCUGCAAAAAGGGGAGAUCUGCUUUUUUUUAAAGACAAAUGGAGCGUUUGGUUUGAAAAACAGCACCUCCCAGCAGGAACGGGGAGCAGAAGGGCGGAGUUACUGGGACCAUUCUUUUCUACUUUUUUUUGUUGCUAUUUUCUACUUUUCUCUACUCUAUAUUUCUCCUAGCUGUCACUGCCAGAAAAUGAGGACAUGUGUUACAUUUAUCAUUUGAUAGAAACAAACUAAUCCUGGAGUUUCUGAUAUUUAAUAUACAGUAUAAGAAUGUCAGUUUCUGAUUCUUUCUAAAAUAAUGCUUGUUGUUUGUUUCUUGUUUGUUUACAAGAAGCAGUCUUGUGGUGAGGGAAUUAUGUUGAGCUAAUAAUCUAUCCAAAUAAGGAAGCUAGGACAUGAACACUGAGGUACUGAAUUAUAUAGAUUUUUUACAUCUUUUUUUGUGAAAUUACUCACACUAUACUAUCUGGUUUUUUUUUAGUUUGUUUUAUUCAAACUCCGGUUCACAUAAUUUGCCGUCAGCCUCAUAUUCUGCCCAAAUAUUUGGUCCACAAGGGCAUUUUUUAACUUGGACCAAUACAUAGGCAGGAGACUCACGGUUAUCGAUCCACAUACAUUUGUACGCAGAUGAUACCUUAUUCUAUCUGAGUAAUAUAGUAGUUGUCAUGUCACUUUUCCAUUAUCAUAUGAAUCACUGACCAAAAUCUCAUAAUGACAAUGCUAACAUGCUAAUGUUUAGCUGGUAUAACCAUGAUCACCAUCUUUUUGUUAGCAUGCUAACGUUUGCUAAUCAGCACAAAACACAAAGUACAGCUGAGACUGCAGUAUUGUAAAACGAAGUAUUGAACAAAUUCAAACUUUAACCAGAUCAUAGCGCUAAAUGAAAAGUCAGAGGACCAUUACAGUUAUUACAGUUCAUCCUGAGGGGAACAUGAACAACUGAACCAAAUGACAUGGUAAUACAUCCUGUAGUUGUUGAGAUAUUGGCAACCAUGUAAAUCUGCACGGAGUUCAUGUUGAGAUAUUUGUUUUUAAGUAGAAACUGUGACCCAUAGGUGGUUCUAGAGUCAAGAUCAGGCGACCACCAAAGUAUUAGGGCUUCAUCAUCAGCACCAUGAAUGUUUGUACCAAAUCUCAUGGCAAUCGAUCCAACAGUCGUUGAGAUAUUUCAGUCUGAACCCAAAUGGUGGACUCGCCAAAAGUCCGAAAUUGCCACGCCACUAGCAAGGCUAACAAUGAAGGUCUUUGAAACUUACUGUUCAGGUUUGUGGCCUAGAAAUCAAAGAGUUUCCUCUUUUUCCUAUUCAGAGAGGUGACAGUGAAUGUAUCAUCAUCAUAACCAAUCAGAACUGGAGAUGCAACACGUGACAUCCAUUCAAACUAAUUUUACAGUGUUUUUAUUCAGUGUUAGCUGCUUUGUGAUGUGACCAAACGGACAUAAACGUAUGGAAACUGUACAAUACAAGGGCUAACUUUGCUCAGGGGCACUGAGGCAGUAUUUCUGUUCGUUAUUCGCUGGUGUCACUACCAAGCCUUACAUCCCUCUGGUGUUUGUAAUGUCAAUUCUGAUUUCUGAAGGACCUUCUGAUUGACAUAUUUGGGGGAUUUCAUGUCACUUUCGCUAACCCCCUUUAGACAAGUUGGAGGACCACAGCUCUGUGAAGACCUGAUAAACGCCAUCCUUUAUCCAAGGUGCUUAAUUAGCUGUUACUAAGCAACCAAAAACCUUUGAGCUGGGAUGGUGAUGAUGAUGAUGAAGUUGCAGUAAUUUAAAGUAAACUUCACUGACAGAACUUUACAAAGUUAAACCAGAUAAAUGGAUUUCUUCAACCAGAUGACGCCCUUGGAUGCACUGCCCAAAUUCUAAUGAAUCGAAGGACUAACGCUUUAGCCAAAACACCUGAUUUUGGUGCAAAUGCAGCGUAACUAGAAGUUAUAACAUCUCCCCAAAUGUAGAUCUCGAUCUUGAGAUGAUAAAAGAUGUCUUUGGCUUUUUGUUGUAUCCUCGAAAACCUGCUUUGGUGUACACAUGGAACAGAUUUCUUCAAAGCAACCUCCGUUAUCAGAUCGUUAACUUGACUGAAAAAGUUUCUGAUUUGUCCAGUAACAGUCAACAUUUCACAGCUUCUGUCUGUUUACACUGUGACUGUUUUGCCAGUUGUAUAUUUUGGAAAGACAUAUAUUUAUGCAGGGUAUGUAAAGGUGUUUCCUUCCACUUGUUUACAUAAAAAAAGUAUACAGAAAUAAACCUACAAACUUUU
Molecule: RNA transcript, 3653 nt
Organism: Anoplopoma fimbria (sablefish)
Lineage: Eukaryota; Metazoa; Chordata; Actinopteri; Perciformes; Anoplopomatidae
Gene: slc10a7
Gene name: solute carrier family 10 member 7
Exons: 14
Source: RefSeq, a predicted model, not a curated record